AUUGAACGCUGGCGGCAUGCUUUACACAUGCAAGUCGAACGGUAACAGGCCUUCGGGUGCUGACGAGUGGCGAACGGGUGAGUAGUGCAUCGGAACGUACCCAGAGGUGGGGGAUAACGCAGCGAAAGCUGUGCUAAUACCGCAUGUGAUCUGAGGAUGAAAGCGGGGGACCGAGCAGCAAUGUUUGGCCUCGCGCCUUUGGAGCGGCCGAUGUCGGAUUAGCUAGUUGGGGGGGUAAAGGCCUACCAAGGCGACGAUCCGUAGCUGGUCUGAGAGGACGACCGGCCACACUGGGACUGGGACACGGCCCAGACUCCUACGGGAGGCAGCAGUGGGGAAUGUUGGACAAUGGGCGCAAGCCUGAUCCAGCAAUGCCGCGUGCGGGAAGAAGGCCUUCGGGUUGUAAACCGCUUUUGGCAGGAACGAAACGGUGUCCGCUAAUACCGGGCGCUAAUGACGGUACCUGCAGAAGAAGCACCGGCUAACUACGUG
Molecule: ribosomal RNA, 492 nt
Filed under: uncultured bacterium
Lineage: Bacteria
Description: partial 16S ribosomal RNA
Rfam family: Bacterial small subunit ribosomal RNA
Source: RNAcentral